ACUAUGAAGUGACUUCAAAAUUAGCUCCAACUGUUUUCUCUUAUUUUAUUCCCUAAGACCCAGUUGAAGGGAAUGAAAAUGAGCAAAAUUCAAGGAACAGAAGAGCUUUUUUUACAAAGAAAUCGCUUUUGCUGCCAAAUGAAGAGGACGCCAGAUACAGUUGCAUUGCAGAAAAAUGUUUCUCUAACUUGGAAAGUUGCACACAUCCCGGAGUUCGAAGAGUGUCAUACCUCUCAGAUGAUGAGCUGAGACGACUUCUUCAAGUCCACUGUGUCUUUAACUUGGGAGUCUGUGCCACCGAUUGCUUUAACAGACGGCUUUAUGACAAAGUUUGACGCUGUUUUCUGUGUCCGAUCUGCACUGGACUCUUCUUUCACUCAAACGCUCUCAAUAUACCAAUUAUUAUUCUGGUAGUUCUAAGGGAGAUUGUGUAUCACUGCACAAAGUUUUAUUUGAAUUGAAAGGUACCUGGAAUACUUUAAGUUGAAAUAUAAUAAAUAUAUUUAUAUAUAUAUUAAAUGUAUAUUAAUAAUAUAUUAACUUGAAAUUUUAAGUUGAAAAUAACA
Molecule: long non-coding RNA, 566 nt
Organism: Erpetoichthys calabaricus (reedfish)
Lineage: Eukaryota; Metazoa; Chordata; Cladistia; Polypteriformes; Polypteridae
Exons: 4
Source: RefSeq, a predicted model, not a curated record